RNAcentral lists this ribosomal RNA (1512 nucleotides) under Prevotella denticola. RNAcentral's name for it is "partial 23S ribosomal RNA". It matches the Rfam family "Bacterial large subunit ribosomal RNA", at positions 1 to 1514 of the family's 2925-position model. The record is from RNAcentral. Lineage: Bacteria; Pseudomonadati; Bacteroidota; Bacteroidia; Bacteroidales; Prevotellaceae.
AAGAAAGCAGGAAAGGGCGCAUGGCGGAUGCCUUGGCUCACGGAGGCGAUGAAGGACGUGAUAAGCUGCGAUAAGCCCCGGGUAGGUGCAAAUGACCUUUGAUCCGGGGAUUUCCGAAUGGGACAACCCGGCAGGCUGGAGGCCUGUCAUCACCGCAGGAGCGGUGAGGCGAACGGAGGGAACUGAAACAUCUUAGUACCUCCAGGAAGAGAAAAUAAACUAAUGAUUCCCCCAGUAGCGGCGAGCGGACGGGGAAGAGCCCAAACCUGCGGCGUAGCGAUGCGCCGCGGGGGUUGUAGGACCACGCUGUCGUACUCUGAUUGUGAGGAGAAUAUACUGGAAAGUAUAAUCAUAGAGGGUGAGAGUCCCGUAUCCGAAGCAUGAGGAGGCGUAGUGGCAUCCUGAGUAACGCGGAACACGUGGAAUUCUGCGCGAAUCCGCCGGGACCAUCCGGCAAGGCUAAAUACUCCCGUGAGACCGAUAGUGUACGAGUACCGUGAGGGAAAGGUGAAAAGCACUCCGACGAGGAGAGUGAAACAGUUCCUGAAACCAUGCGCCUACAAGCGGUCGGAGCCGCGCGAGCGGUGACGGCGUGCCUUUUGCAUAAUGAACCUACGAGUUGCCAUGUCUGGCAAGGAUAAGCGUCAUGAGCCGCGUAUCCGCAGUGAAAGCGAGCCUGAACAGGGCGUCGAGUCAGACGGGGCAGACGCGAAACCAAGUGAUCUACACUUGCCCAGGCUGAAGUCCGGGUAACACCGGAUGGAGGGCCGCACGGAUAAGCGUUGAAAAGCUUCCCGAUGAGGUGAGUGUAGGAGUGAAAGGCCAAUCAAACUUGGAGAUAGCUCGUACUCCCCGAAAGGCAUUUAGGUGCCGCGUGCGGCGUUGUCCGUGAGAGGUAGAGCGACCGGUAGGUCGAGAGGGCUUCACCGCCUGUCGAGACCUGACGAACUCCGAAUGCUCUCGGAUCGCAGCCGUGCAGUAAGGGGGCGGGUGCUAAGGUCCGUCCCCGAGAGGAGAAGAAUCCAGACCGCCGUCUAAGGUCCCGGAAUUCUGCCUGAGUUAGUCUAACGAAGUCCGGUCCCCGUGACAGCUAGGAUGUUGGCUUGGAAGCAGCCAUUCAUUCAAAGAGUGCGUAACAGCUCACUAGUCGAGGGUCCGGGCGUGGAUAAUAAUCGGGUAUAAGGCAGAUACCGAAGGCGCGGGAUAGCAAUGUAUAUUGAAAGUAUCGGUAGGGGAGCAUUCCAUCGGCGUCGAAUGGUGAGGGAAACUGAUCCUGGAGCUUAUGGAAAAGCAAAUGUAGGUAUGAGUAACGAUAAAAAGGGUGGGAUUCCCUUUCGCCGAAAGACCGAGGUUUCCCGGGCGAUGCCAAUCAGCCCGGGGUCAGUCGGGUCCUAAGUCUCAGCCGAACGGCGAAGGCGAUGGCAGAUGCGGUCAACAUUCCGCAACUCGCAUUAUCAGUGACGUGGAGACGGAGCAGUGACACUGCCGCGCCCUGACGGAACAGGGCGUUUA